This 465-nucleotide ribosomal RNA is filed under the name uncultured bacterium. RNAcentral describes it as "partial 16S ribosomal RNA". It matches the Rfam family "Bacterial small subunit ribosomal RNA", at positions 339 to 795 of the family's 1533-position model. The record is from RNAcentral.
CUACGGGCCGCUCCAGUGAGGAAUUUUGCGCAAUGGGCGAAAGCCUGACGCAGCAACGCCGCGUGAGUGAUGAAGGCCUUCGGGUCGUAAAGCUCUGUCAAGUGGGAAGAACCUAUGUAAUGUUAAUAUCAUUAUAUACUGACGGUACCACUGAAGGAAGCACCGGCUAACUCCGUGCCAGCAGCCGCGGUAAUACGGGGGGUGCAAGCGUUAUUCGGAAUCAUUGGGCGUAAAGGGCACGUAGGCGGCCUGGUAAGUCAGAUGUGAAAGCCCGGGGCUUAACCCCGGAAGUGCAGUUUAUACUGUGAGGCUAGAGUAUGGGAGAGGGAAGUGGAAUUCCUGGUGUAGAGGUGAAAUUCGUAGAUAUCAGGAGGAACACCGGUGGCGAAGGCGACUUCCUGGACCAAUACUGACGCUGAGGUGCGAAGGCGUGGGUAGCAAACAGGAUUAGAUACCCUAGUAGUC